UUAAAAGGCAGAGGUGGCCUGUGGUUGGAGUAUUGCCAGAGGCUAUAAAUAGCUGAGUGUGUGAAGAAGGAGAGUCUGGGGAAGAAAGAGGAAUGGGGGAGGCCCCUGGGUCUCCAGGUGGCAGCAGAGCCCUGUGGUGAGGGAGGGGCAUGGGCUCUGAACAUAAAGCUCUUGUAGGCAUGGUGUGACUUGAUGGGCUGGGAGUCAUACAGGGGACUUGUGUUAUGAGGGAUUGUCAUAGGCAGUAGGGGAUGGUUGUGGCUGUAAUAUAGCCAAUGUGCCAGGCAGUGUUCUAACCACUCUUAAAGUGCAUUAACUCAAUUAGUUCCUACAACUACCCUAGCUGUGAAGUAUUGGAGUAGGACUUGAAGUCUGGCCAGCUCACGGCUGCCAUUUUUCGCUGGGUUGCCUAUAGGAGGAUCUGGUCAGAUGGGGGUCAGGUGACAUCUUUUUGAAAUGGAGUCUUGCUCUUGUUGCCCAGGCUGGAGUGCAAUGGCACGACCUCAGCUCACUGCAACCUCCGCCUCCUGGGUUCAAGCGAUUCUCCUGCCUCAGCCUCCUGAGUAGCUGGGAUUACAGGUGUCCGCCGCCAUGCCUGGCUCAUUUUUGUAUUUUUAGUAGAGACCAGGUUUCACCACAUUGGCCAGGCUGGUCUCGAACUCCUGACCUCAGGUGAUCUGCCCGUCUCAGCCUCCCAAAGUGCUGGCAUUACAGGCGUGAGCCACAGUGCCUGGCCCAGCUGACAUCUUGAACCCUUGGGUCCUCUGAGAUUUGGAACUCCCAGCCUCUUCACUUGGGUCCUGCCCAUGGUAGUGGCAAGUGGGUGGUCCCUGACUUAUCAGUGGCCUGGAGAGAGGAGGUUACUCUGUUGGCCUCCCUUGUUUGGGCUCCUGCCUCAGCACAGAGGCUUGUUGCUUGUCUGAAUGGAGAUGGAAACUCUUUGAGGACCUAGGGCUUGGGCUGCAGGCUGAGGCCAUCCUUGUUGUCCCCUCCUUUCGACAUCUUGCUCUAGCCAUGAUACCUAUACCCUUCUGUCCUUCUGUCUGUCCACCCAUCCAUCUAUGAUGUGUUUGGAAUGAUUCUGCCACUUAGGACGGCAAGGGUCCUGCCUUUGUCGGCUUUCCAGUCUUGUGGGGAAAGCCUGACAUUUAGAAAGUAGUUGUCGAGUACAUGUGUAAUGUUUUAUUUCUCAUACAAGUGUUCAUUGUGUUAUUUCCUCUUGAGAUUAUUUUUGGUUAUAUUAUUGGUACACUUUUUGGAUGUCUGAAAUAAUCCUUUAAGCAACAACAGGCCAUUAGUCAAGGGUGGUUAAGUUAUGUGGCAGGGGAAGCACAAGGGCCAGUGGAAAUAGAGAGUUUGCCUGGUCUCAGGGGAGAGGGAAGAGCCGAAAUCAGAGGAAGGUGGGUAACCUUACGGCCAGAGGUGGUAACUUCCGACUUACGCUAAGCCUAGAAGCCAAACACAUUCAAGGGUGUGACAUUAUGGUGUGGCUGCAGUGAGGGGAGGAAGGUAGGGGAGUGCCCAGCUUCCCUGUCUGCAGUGCAGCUUCAUGGCUGGCCCCACAAGUCUCAGGUCUCCACGGACCCCCACUAGAACUGCUGCCGUGGAUGCAGUGGGGCCCAGCCUGGGGAGAGGAGGCCCUGUGGCCUCUGGGCAGGGUGCUUCGAAUAACCCAGUAAUUGGAUGCUGCUGCAGGCAGACAGGGACAAUGUAGGUGCAAGCCUCAGUCCUGGCCCUGGUGUGCUUGUUCAGCCUUUGGUCUACUACCCCCACCCCACCCUCUCAGGUUCUCCCUCUAAACCUUAAAGCCACAUGCUUGAUGAAGGGCCUGGCUGGGGAAGCCAGUGUGUACCCUUGUAAGCCUCUCUGUGGACCCUGAGGCCCUUCCUUUAGAAGAGGCUGAGUCCCAGCUGACUGACUGGUCAGGAGGCCAUGCAUUUUCCUUUCACAGGUGUCAGAGCCUAGGCCACCUGGUGCAGGAUGACCAGAGCUGUGGCUGGGCACUGCCAUUCUGAUUGGGUGACAUUUCGGACCCUUAGGUGCUACCUGGAUCCUUGAGAUUCGUUGCUUGCUCCUGCCGCUGGAAGAAGCAUCCUGUCACUUCAGGGAGAUGCAGAAAGGGGUUGGGUUUGACAGGAGAAUGGCCGCUCCAGUGGUGGGGGGCUUCUUUCACCUGACAGCCAGUCAGUAUCCUUCUCUCUGGGGUAUACCCUGGGAAAUCAAGCUCUUUCCUCAUGAAGGCCAACAGUAGGGGUGGAGAUGAGAGUGAGGAUGUCCUUAGGCUACGCUAGUGUUCAGGGUACUUUGCCCUCCCCCAGGGUCAGGGCAGGGUUCGUGUUCUUUGCUACUCCAGUCAGCCUUUCAGGCUGAUGGCGAAGUAGGGCUCUUGGCUGCUGGUGGGCUGGCUGUCUGGUGGGAUUGACUCUGACCCCUCCCUCCUUCCUGGGAUGGGAAUAGUGGUAGGAGAAGACCAGCCAGGAGUGGUGCCAGGUCACUGGCCUACGUGGGCCCAAAAAGUGUGGAUAGGAUGGCUGGAUGCUUGGUGCAACUAUCCUCUCGGGUGUCUGUGUGGGGUUCUGGCAGUGAGGUUGUAAAUGCCACCACCUGCCUCCAUUGUGGGCGGCCUAUAAUGGGGUGCUGGCAGAGCUCUCAGACAGAACCCAACCUCCUUUGGCAUCUCCAUACUCUUUCCUAUGUCAGGGCUAUGUGGUUCCUGCGGGUAGUGGGAGUAGACUGGGGCUGGGACUGGAGGUUGUUUUGUAGGGGAUGGUGAGGAAGAUGGAUUUGGGGAAUGUUUGAAAUCAAGUUUGAAGGAAAGUGUUUGAAUGGGCAGGUGGGGGUUGAAGUGGUUGUUCACCUGGAUGGCACUUCCUGCAGCAGGUGGAAGGGGGUUCAGAAGUGAUGGGGAGUGCCCUGGGGUCAUCAGGAGCCUAGCCAGGAGAAUGAUCUGUGAUUGCAGGUUAAGCCACCAGCUAGCGCUCCUCUGCCUGAGGCACGUAUUCCCCUUGGUGACUCUGGGAGGCUUACCCUGUACACGCAGGCCUCAUUCCUUAUGUUCUCCAGCCCUGCCGAGCACCAGGUGUGGUUGCUGGGUGUAGAAAGGACGCUUACAGGGUCCUUUCCAUUCCGUAUGGGCAGGGAGUUGUGGAGGACCCACUGGCAUGGUGUCCCUGGGGAACUGUUGUGAGAAGGGGGCUUGGGGGCAGAGACAGGAGCAGCAGGAAGCCACUCCCCUUUGUAGUUUUCCCAGGUGGUCCUUGAGAUCUUUAUCACAAUCACCUGAGACAGACAGGGGUGAUUAAAAGCACAUAUUCUGCCCCCAUUCCCAUUGGGAUGGGUCUGGAUUGGGCCUGGAAAUACGUAUUUGAAUGAACUGCUCCCCUUUCCCACACCUGCAACAUACAGUGAUUCCGAUGUGCACUGGGGUUUUAAGGGGGCUUCUUCAUCGGUUUCUGCUGCAGCAGGGAAGUAGCCCCCACCCCCACCCAGGAGCCUCAGGUGUUGGUGCCCUUUCUGUGCAUCUGGACUCUGUCUGUCUGGCUGUUUAUCCAUCCUUCUGUGGCAUUAGGUUUCCUGCCUCCUCCCUUUUGCUUAGGCCUAGGGGCAGCUGUGAUGGGCUGCAGAAUGAGGUGGGGGCUGGUGCCAGCUGGCACACGUAAAUUAAGAGGUGUGGGACGGAUGGGUGGCCUACGUCCAGGGGUGAGUGCAGGAGGUUGGUGACCCCAACCCACCACCCGGCCUCCCUCCCUCAGGGUGGCCUGGCACCCAGGACUGGGAGUAGGGGUUUGGGUGGUGGUCCCAGGGGCAUGCUCAGUGGUUCUCUUUUCUCUGGGGCACAGGCUCUGGGCGUGGGGAGGCUGAGACACGGGAGUGCAUCUACUACAACGCCAACUGGGAGCUGGAGCGCACCAACCAGAGCGGCCUGGAGCGCUGCGAAGGCGAGCAGGACAAGCGGCUGCACUGCUACGCCUCCUGGCGCAACAGCUCUGGCACCAUCGAGCUCGUGAAGAAGGGCUGCUGGCUAGAUGACUUCAACUGCUACGAUAGGCAGGAGUGCGUGGCCACUGAGGAGAACCCCCAGGUGUACUUCUGCUGCUGUGAAGGCAACUUCUGCAACGAGCGCUUCACUCAUUUGCCAGAGGCUGGGGGCCCGGAAGUCACGUACGAGCCACCCCCGACAGCCCCCACCCUGCUCACGGUGCUGGCCUACUCACUGCUGCCCAUCGGGGGCCUUUCCCUCAUCGUCCUGCUGGCCUUUUGGAUGUACCGGCAUCGCAAGCCCCCCUACGGUCAUGUGGACAUCCAUGAGGACCCUGGGCCUCCACCACCAUCCCCUCUGGUGGGGCUGAAGCCACUGCAGCUGCUGGAGAUCAAGGCUCGGGGGCGCUUUGGCUGUGUCUGGAAGGCCCAGCUAAUGAAUGACUUUGUAGCUGUCAAGAUCUUCCCACUCCAGGACAAGCAGUCGUGGCAGAGUGAACGGGAGAUUUUCAGCACACCUGGCAUGAAGCACGAGAACCUGCUACAGUUCAUUGCUGCCGAGAAGCGAGGCUCCAACCUCGAAGUAGAGCUGUGGCUCAUCACGGCCUUCCAUGACAAGGGCUCCCUCACGGAUUACCUCAAGGGGAACAUCAUCACAUGGAACGAACUGUGUCAUGUAGCAGAGACGAUGUCACGAGGCCUCUCAUACCUGCAUGAGGAUGUGCCCUGGUGCCGUGGCGAGGGCCACAAGCCGUCUAUUGCCCACAGGGACUUUAAAAGUAAGAAUGUAUUGCUGAAGAGCGACCUCACAGCCGUGCUGGCUGACUUUGGCUUGGCUGUUCGAUUUGAGCCAGGGAAACCUCCAGGGGACACCCACGGACAGGUAGGCACGAGACGGUACAUGGCUCCUGAGGUGCUCGAGGGAGCCAUCAACUUCCAGAGAGAUGCCUUCCUGCGCAUUGACAUGUAUGCCAUGGGGUUGGUGCUGUGGGAGCUUGUGUCUCGCUGCAAGGCUGCAGACGGACCCGUGGAUGAGUACAUGCUGCCCUUUGAGGAAGAGAUUGGCCAGCACCCUUCGUUGGAGGAGCUGCAGGAGGUGGUGGUGCACAAGAAGAUGAGGCCCACCAUUAAAGAUCACUGGUUGAAACACCCGGGCCUGGCCCAGCUUUGUGUGACCAUCGAGGAGUGCUGGGACCAUGAUGCAGAGGCUCGCUUGUCCGCGGGCUGUGUGGAGGAGCGGGUGUCCCUGAUUCGGAGGUCGGUCAACGGCACUACCUCGGACUGUCUCGUUUCCCUGGUGACCUCUGUCACCAAUGUGGACCUGCCCCCUAAAGAGUCAAGCAUCUAAGCGCAGGACAUGAGUGUCUGUCCAGACUCAGUGGAUCUGAAG
Molecule: small RNA, 5368 nt
Filed under: Pan troglodytes (chimpanzee)
Lineage: Eukaryota; Metazoa; Chordata; Mammalia; Primates; Hominidae
Description: retained intron
Source: RNAcentral